RNAcentral lists this ribosomal RNA (1476 nucleotides) under Bacillus safensis. RNAcentral describes it as "bacterial SSU rRNA". It matches the Rfam family "Bacterial small subunit ribosomal RNA". Lineage: Bacteria; Bacillati; Bacillota; Bacilli; Caryophanales; Bacillaceae. The record is from RNAcentral.
GAGCUUGCUCCCGGAUGUUAGCGGCGGACGGGGGAGUAACACGUGGGUAACCUGCCUGUAAGACUGGGAUAACUCCGGGAAACCGGAGCUAAUACCGGAUAGUUCCUUGAACCGCAUGGUUCAAGGAUGAAAGACGGUUUCGGCUGUCACUUACAGAUGGACCCGCGGCGCAUUAGCUAGUUGGUGGGGUAAUGGCUCACCAAGGCGACGAUGCGUAGCCGACCUGAGAGGGUGAUCGGCCACACUGGGACUGAGACACGGCCCAGACUCCUACGGGAGGCAGCAGUAGGGAAUCUUCCGCAAUGGACGAAAGUCUGACGGAGCAACGCCGCGUGAGUGAUGAAGGUUUUCGGAUCGUAAAGCUCUGUUGUUAGGGAAGAACAAGUGCGAGAGUAACUGCUCGCACCUUGACGGUACCUAACCAGAAAGCCACGGCUAACUACGUGCCAGCAGCCGCGGUAAUACGUAGGUGGCAAGCGUUGUCCGGAAUUAUUGGGCGUAAAGGGCUCGCAGGCGGUUUCUUAAGUCUGAUGUGAAAGCCCCCGGCUCAACCGGGGAGGGUCAUUGGAAACUGGGAAACUUGAGUGCAGAAGAGGAGAGUGGAAUUCCACGUGUAGCGGUGAAAUGCGUAGAGAUGUGGAGGAACACCAGUGGCGAAGGCGACUCUCUGGUCUGUAACUGACGCUGAGGAGCGAAAGCGUGGGGAGCGAACAGGAUUAGAUACCCUGGUAGUCCACGCCGUAAACGAUGAGUGCUAAGUGUUAGGGGGUUUCCGCCCCUUAGUGCUGCAGCUAACGCAUUAAGCACUCCGCCUGGGGAGUACGGUCGCAAGACUGAAACUCAAAGGAAUUGACGGGGGCCCGCACAAGCGGUGGAGCAUGUGGUUUAAUUCGAAGCAACGCGAAGAACCUUACCAGGUCUUGACAUCCUCUGACAACCCUAGAGAUAGGGCUUUCCCUUCGGGGACAGAGUGACAGGUGGUGCAUGGUUGUCGUCAGCUCGUGUCGUGAGAUGUUGGGUUAAGUCCCGCAACGAGCGCAACCCUUGAUCUUAGUUGCCAGCAUUCAGUUGGGCACUCUAAGGUGACUGCCGGUGACAAACCGGAGGAAGGUGGGGAUGACGUCAAAUCAUCAUGCCCCUUAUGACCUGGGCUACACACGUGCUACAAUGGACAGAACAAAGGGCUGCAAGACCGCAAGGUUUAGCCAAUCCCAUAAAUCUGUUCUCAGUUCGGAUCGCAGUCUGCAACUCGACUGCGUGAAGCUGGAAUCGCUAGUAAUCGCGGAUCAGCAUGCCGCGGUGAAUACGUUCCCGGGCCUUGUACACACCGCCCGUCACACCACGAGAGUUUGCAACACCCGAAGUCGGUGAGGUAACCUUUAUGGAGCCAGCCGCCGAAGGUGGGGCAGAUGAUUGGGGUGAAGUCGUAACAAGGUAGCCGUAUCGGAAGGUGCGGCUGGAUCACCUCCUUUCUAA